Molecule: ribosomal RNA, 405 nt
Filed under: uncultured bacterium
Lineage: Bacteria
Description: partial 16S ribosomal RNA
Rfam family: Bacterial small subunit ribosomal RNA
Source: RNAcentral
GACGAACGCUGGCGGCGUGCUUAACACAUGCAAGUCGAGCGGAGCGGCGAACGGGUGAGUAACGCGUGAGUAACUGCCCCCCUCUCUGGGAUAACAGUUGGAAACGGCUGCUAAUACCGGAUAGUGGGGGAUGAUUCGCGUCCUAUCAGCUAGUGGGUGGGGUAGUGGCCUACCAAGGCGACGACGGGUAGCCGGCCUGAGAGGGCGACCGGCCGCAUGGGACUGAGUUACAGCCAGAAAUCCUACGGGAGCCAGCAGUGGCGAAUAUUGCACAAUGGGGGAAGCCCUGGAGGAAGAACGCCGCGUGCGGGAUAACGGCGUUCGGGAUGUAAACGGCUUUCAGCCAUGACGCGUUAGUGUCAGAAGAAGCACCGGCUAACUACGUGCCAGCAGCCGCGGUAAUUC